AAUCACAAGUGCCUAGAUCUCAUGGCUUUGAUCAAUAAUUGAGUUAUGUCGUGGCGUGUCAGCUAGAUGUCAUAGCAUGUCAGCUAGAUGUCAUGGUGUGUCAGCUAAAUGUCAUGGCAUGUCAGCUAGAUGUCACGGUGUGCCAGCUAGAUGUCAUGGUGUGUCAGCUAGAUGUCAUGGCAUGUCAGGUUGGAAAGGAAGGAAAUCCUGAAGUGAGGCAGGUCGCACAUGUUACUACUUUGGGGAAACCCAUGAGUACAGGAAUCGUGCUGACAAAGCAAGAAACAUAAUUUGAGCAAAC
This is a long non-coding RNA of Haliotis rubra (blacklip abalone), 301 nucleotides long. RefSeq lists it as uncharacterized. The record is from RefSeq and is a predicted model, not a curated record. The transcript is spliced from 2 exons. NCBI's taxonomy places the organism in Eukaryota, Metazoa, Mollusca, Gastropoda, Lepetellida, Haliotidae.